AUUGAACGCUGGCGGCAGGCCUAACACAUGCAAGUCGAGCGGAUGAAGGGAGCUUGCUCCUGGAUUCAGCGGCGGACGGGUGAGUAAUGCCUAGGAAUCUGCCUGGUAGUGGGGGAUAACGUCCGGAAACGGGCGCUAAUACCGCAUACGUCCUGAGGGAGAAAGUGGGGGAUCUUCGGACCUCACGCUAUCAGAUGAGCCUAGGUGGGAUUAGCUAGUUGGUGGGGUAAAGGCCUACCAAGGCGACGAUCCGUAACUGGUCUGAGAGGAUGAUCAGUCACACUGGAACUGAGACACGGUCCAGACUCCUACGGGAGGCAGCAGUGGGGAAUAUUGGACAGUGGGCGAGAGCAUGAUACAGCCAUGCCGCGUGUGUGAAGAAGGUCUUCGGAUUGUAAAGCACUUUAAGUUGGGAGGAAGGGCAGUAAGUUAAUACCUUGCUGUUUUGACGUUACCAACAGAAUAAGCACCGGCUAACUUCGUG
This 484-nucleotide ribosomal RNA is filed under the name uncultured bacterium. RNAcentral describes it as "partial 16S ribosomal RNA". It matches the Rfam family "Bacterial small subunit ribosomal RNA", at positions 30 to 507 of the family's 1533-position model. The record is from RNAcentral.